This 791-nucleotide long non-coding RNA is filed under the name Phasianus colchicus (ring-necked pheasant). RNAcentral describes it as "lncRNA (ENSPCLG00000020050.1)". Lineage: Eukaryota; Metazoa; Chordata; Aves; Galliformes; Phasianidae. The record is from RNAcentral.
UACCAAAAGUGAACUAAACUUUGCAAAGUGAGAAAUUCAGACACUACAGGCUCGCUUCUCUCUUCAUUUCUAGUUUCUCCUUGCAAUCCCUGGACUGUGGUAGAAAGAAGUACAGAAAUGAUGAACUGUGCAAAGAAUCUUAUAAAUGCUGUGUCUACAAGGUGAACUCUAUCAGAACUGUUAUUGUAAAGAACAGACAGUAUUGCUACAGGUUAUAGAGUUUCUUCCUUGAGGAAAUCGAAUACUUUUACUUCUCUUGCACAGAUUUCUCAAACGAAAUGUCUUCUCCACAAUACUACAUUUCCUGGAUUUAUGAAGCCGUAAAGUCCACCAGAUUCAACUCUAGAGCUAAAAUGCAUCACAGCAACCAAAGCCUUAUUAUAGUCAUAAAAUUAAGUAGCACACAAAGAUUGAGGGAGAAAACAGGAUGCAGGCAGCAAAAAUUAUUUUUGACAUUUAUUCUUUGAAGAAUUGCAUAGGACAAAUUUCAAAUGGAGAAGAUUGCACUAGAAGGGAGGAAGACCCUGGAGGUCCCUAUUGAAACAGCCCAUACAACAAGAUUUGAGGUGAUGGCUAAACAGAAGUGGGAAGUGCUGUUUUCUUCCUGGUCUAACUUGACGAUGUGCAUCUUGAGUAUGAAGAGGGAAUAACAGGACAAGCUUAACUUAAUACAAAUGGAGGAAUUGCACUCUUCUGGCUCUGUGUGGAGUUAUUCCCUUUGCUUCCAAACCAGAGCACUAGUUGUUAGAAGGGGGAAAUGCGUUCUGAAAUAAAUGAUGUGUGCUACAGCA